AUUGAACGCUGGCGGCAUGCUUUACACAUGCAAGUCGAACGGCAGCACGGGUGCUUGCACCUGGUGGCGAGUGGCGGACGGGUGAGUAAUACAUCGGAACGUGUCCUGAAGUGGGGGAUAACGCAUCGAAAGAUGUGCUAAUACCGCAUAUACUCUGAGGAGUAAAGUAGGGGAUCGAAAGACCUUAUGCUUUUGGAGCGGCCGAUGUCUGAUUAGCUAGUUGGUGGGGUAAUUGCCCACCAAGGCGACGAUCAGUAGUUGGUCUGAGAGGACGACCAGCCACACUGGGACUGAGACACGGCCCAGACUCCUACGGGAGGCAGCAGUGGGGAAUUUUGGACAAUGGGCGCAAGCCUGAUCCAGCAAUGCCGCGUGAGUGAAGAAGGCCUUCGGGUUGUAAAGCUCUUUCAGUUGAGAAGAAAAGAUUGUAACUAAUAAUUACAGUUCAUGACGGUAUCAAC
This 461-nucleotide ribosomal RNA is filed under the name uncultured bacterium. RNAcentral's name for it is "bacterial SSU rRNA". It matches the Rfam family "Bacterial small subunit ribosomal RNA", at positions 30 to 482 of the family's 1533-position model. The record is from RNAcentral.